RNAcentral lists this ribosomal RNA (253 nucleotides) under uncultured bacterium. RNAcentral's name for it is "partial 16S ribosomal RNA". It matches the Rfam family "Bacterial small subunit ribosomal RNA", at positions 524 to 776 of the family's 1533-position model. The record is from RNAcentral.
UACGUAGGGGGCAAGCGUUGUCCGGAAUCAUUGGGCGUAAAGCGCGUGUAGGCGGCCCGGCAAGUCCGCUGUGAAAGUCCAGGGCUCAACCCUGGAAUGCCGGUGGAUACUGUCGGGCUCGAGUCCGGAAGAGGCGAGUGGAAUUCCUGGUGUAGCGGUGAAAUGCGCAGAUAUCAGGAGGAACACCGAUGGCGAAGGCAGCUCGCUGGGACGUGACUGACGCUGAGGAGCGAAAGCGUGGGGAGCAAACAGG